This 295-nucleotide unclassified non-coding RNA is filed under the name uncultured Acidobacteriota bacterium. RNAcentral describes it as "uncultured Acidobacteria bacterium contains 16S-23S intergenic spacer region". The record is from RNAcentral. Lineage: Bacteria; Pseudomonadati; Acidobacteriota.
UUGGACUACUCGGGUUUCUAAUCCCGUUCGCUCCCCUGGCUUUCGCGCUUCAGCGUCAGUGUCGGCCCAGCAACCCGCCUUCGCCGCAGGUGUUCCUCUUGAUAUCUACGCAUUUCACCGCUACACCAAGAAUUCCAGUUGCCCCUUCCGCACUCUAGUCGCACAGUAUCAGUUGACCUUUCCGAGUUAAGCUCGGAGAUUUCACAACUGACUUGUGCUGACCGCCUACGCGCCCUUUACGCCCAGUAAAUCCGAACAACGCUUGCUCCCCCCGUAUUACCGCGGCUGCUGGCAC